Molecule: ribosomal RNA, 388 nt
Filed under: Reticulitermes speratus
Lineage: Eukaryota; Metazoa; Arthropoda; Insecta; Blattodea; Rhinotermitidae
Description: partial 16S ribosomal RNA
Source: RNAcentral
GGUAAUUUAAUCUUACAAUCAAAAUAAAUGGAUCAAGUAAAUAUAAAUAAAUAUAAUAAUAAAAAGGAGGGGUUAAAUUGUAUCCCUCCCAUCACCCCAACAAAACAUAUUAGACGGCCCAGUGAACCCUCACAAACAGAAAGGGACCAUAACAAAUGUUAAACUCUAUAGGGUCUUCUCGUCCCAUAAAAACAUCUAAGAAUUUUAACUCAAAGACCAAAUUCAAUAAACAGUUCAAAAUUAAGACAGCCCAUGCCUCGUCAAGCCAUUCAUACCAGAUCACAAUUAAAGAACUAAUGACUAUGCUACCUUUGCACGGUCAAAAUACCGCGGCCCUUCAACACCAAAGUCAGUGGGCAGGCCAUACUUCAAAAACUAACGAGAAAAG